RNAcentral lists this long non-coding RNA (429 nucleotides) under Androctonus crassicauda. Lineage: Eukaryota; Metazoa; Arthropoda; Arachnida; Scorpiones; Buthidae. The record is from RNAcentral.
AAGGGAGCCAAAAAAUGCCUUCGCGGUUAUCAAAGAUUCUGGGUAUGCCACUGCCACCAAUAUAUGCCUCGUAUACAAAUAAGAAGUCGUGAUUAUACACGUACUACGAGUCAUAUCUCGUUUACCACCGGCGGUAAGCGAGAUAUGACUCGUAGUAUGUACCACUCACUCACUCGUGGUACGUACUUCUCACUCAUGGUAUCAACGGUUCUCGACGCGUACCACCGGUUGAAAACCGUCGAUAUAGAACAGCGUUACUCAAACUGUGUUCCACGAAACUCUGGGGUUCCACAAAAUAUCCUAAAGAGUUCCAUAAACAUGCAUAAAAUAUUCAUCAAAAUGAUGAAAAUAAAGUUAUUUUGAUGAAAAUAACUUUAUUUUGUAAUACUUUUUUAACUUUUAUUAUAAUAUAAUAAAAGAAUAUUAAAA